ACUGUGGAGAUGGCCGUACAACUCCACGCGUAUGCUGAAAACCAUUGAGUUUUACACUUUAAGUGGGCGAAGUAUACCGUAUGUGAAUUCUAUCACAACAGAGCUGUUGUUUAAAAACAACAACAACAACCAAUGCAAAGCUGCGCAAGGGACGUGGGAUUGGCUGUGGGAGGGAGGUUUGCUGACUAAUGGAAGGUGGGAGGGACCUCAAAAGUCCUGUUACUCACUGACCUUAUUUACCAGCGGAACGCUGGGCCCGUCUUGCCCACGGGACAGGGUGAGUCAGGGGCUUGAACCCCUGUCUCCAGACCCCCUGGCCCCGCGUCCCCCCACCCCAUUACCUCCAUCCACCCUGCCCGCAGCUGCCCCUCCACCCCCCCCCCCGGCCCUUCCAUCCAGCAACCUUGCCUCCCUUUUGGCCGGCAGCCUACUGAGAGGUCAGAUGACAAGAGCGACCCUCCCUUUCCCCGCGGAGAGCUCGACAGGGUGCACAGUAUGUGCACAGCCUCUGCUCCCUUAAGGCAGCGCGGCCCAGCGGGGCGCCCUGUCUGCUGUCCCGGGUGCAUUUCCGGCUCCCUCUCUCACCGGCUCUGAGCCCUUGGGGAAGCCACUCACUGCUUCUGUCAAACUUCCAUCGCCUCACCUAUGAACAGGGAAUAAACGACAGACUCUACCUCCCAGGACCGCAAUGAGGAUUCACUGAGAACAUCCACGGACAGCACUUACUUCGAAUUCUUACCUGUGCACGAGGCACACGGGGGCAGUGUCGCCCCCCGUUACAGAGGGGGACGCAGAGCUGGUGGGGGUAGAAUCAGGGGGGAGAACUGCUUGGGGUCACGUGCCCAGGCUGCGAGGGGUACAUGGGGACACCAAGGCCCACUUCCUGCCCUGAAGCGCAUGGCCUGAGCCAAAGAGGGGAGAAGAUUGGGCCCCUGGCCAUCAGGCUGGGCUGAGAGGGAAUGUACAGGCCCAAACCCGGCUGUGGGACUCAGUGAAAAGUACUUGGGCUGCUUUGGGGCAAGGAUCCCGGGACUGGGCGAGUGCUGGGGCCCCAGGAGGGCUCGGAACACCAGAGAAGAGGAAGAGGGCAUCCCAGUUAUGGGAAUCUGAGCAAGCAGUGUUGGAGACCGAAGGGGAGUGGCCUGUGUGGGGUCAAAGAAGCUGGAUGCCCGGCCACUGGGUACAAAGGACAACUAAAGCCAGAGAAAGGCCAGGUAAGGGUGGAACCACAGCCAGAACUGGGCUCCCCUCCCUCCUGCCACCUUGGGCUGGUGAUGUUUUUCUGACCCUCAGCAAAACCUUCUAAUGUCAUGAAGACUGGUGGUCAAGGGGUGGUCAAGGGGAGUCUGGACAUUCCCCCCCUUCCUGUGCUCUUUGUACUGGUCCCAGAGGCCCGGGACCCCUGUCCAGAGGAGGCCUCUAGGAGGCAAUAAUCAAGACAGUGACGACAACGUUAGGAUCUCUGGCAGGAGAUCUAGACCCUUCCUCCUGUGCCGCAGUCACGCUCAGGGGUCUCUGCCUGCUUUGUCUUCGUCUACAGCUGCCCUUCUUCAGUGAGUCCCCACCAGAGACCAGGCACGAUGCCAAGUUCAUCUCUUCAUUUCAGAGUGGAGAGAUGGGCUCAGAGAAGUUCAGUCAGUUGCCCAAGGACUGGAGUUCCAGAAGCAAACAGUGGCAAUCAGACGACUGCUGCCUGAGACUCCAGACGGCAGGCCCGGAGGGUUUGUAAGUAAGCUCCUCGAAGACACCAGGUCCCCGGCCACCUGCCUAGGAUUCCAGCCCCCAGAGCUGCGGCCUCUGAGCCCCUGGGGCCCCUGCGGCUUCCCCCCGCACUGGGCCCAGGGCUUUGGAGACUGGGGACCAGCCCGGGGCCCUCUGGGGCUGGCCGAGGUGCUGGUGGUUGGGGUGGUUGUGACUGAGGCAGGGUGGCUCAGGGAUGCCCUGGGGAGGGAGAAGGGUCAGCCCAAGGACGUGCAGCUCCCGAAGAGGCAGCCACCUCCCAGGCUCUCUGACUCUGAUCAACCCAUCUCCACUAACCUGGGUGGACAGGGGCUCCCGUCAGGACCCAAAGAGGCUGAGGUGACCAGGCCCAGACAAUCUCUGUUCCUCCCACGUCUCAAGGCUGCCUUGGAACCCGAGAAGCCUCCACCUGUUCCACACCAGCCAAGGGCAUCUGAGAAACGGAUGCAUCAUCUUUCCUGGACCGUGCUGGAAGGCUGGAUUCCUAGAAGACAGGAAUUUAUGGUGUGAGAGCUCCAGCCCCCGCAAACCCGCAGCCAAGGUCAACAGCACGAGGGGGGCAGCCCUGCCAAGCGAGGAGGGGAGCAGUGACUUUGGGAGCUGGUUGCACAGAAAACCAAAGUACAUGCAUU
Herpailurus yagouaroundi (jaguarundi) is the source of this 2372-nucleotide RNA transcript. RefSeq lists it as uncharacterized. The record is from RefSeq and is a predicted model, not a curated record. NCBI's taxonomy places the organism in Eukaryota, Metazoa, Chordata, Mammalia, Carnivora, Felidae. The transcript has 4 exons.